GACGAACGCUGGCGGCGUGCUUAACACAUGCAAGUCGAACGGAAAGGCCCUGCUUUUGUGGGGUGCUCGAGUGGCGAACGGGUGAGUAACACGUGAGUAACCUGCCCUUGACUUUGGGAUAACUUCAGGAAACUGGGGCUAAUACCGGAUAGGAGCUCCUGCCGCAUGGUGGGGGUUGGAAAGUUUCGGCGGUUGGGGAUGGACUCGCGGCUUAUCAGCUUGUUGGUGGGGUAGUGGCUUACCAAGGCUUUGACGGGUAGCCGGCCUGAGAGGGUGACCGGACACAUUGGGACUGAGAGACGGCCGAGACGCCUACGGGAGGAAGCAGUGGGGAAUAUGGAACAAUGGGCGGAAGCCUGAUGCAGCAACGCCGCGUGCGGGAUGACGGCCUUCGGGUUGUAAACCGCUUUCGCCUGUGACGAAGCGUGAGUGACGGUAAUGGGUAAAGAAGCACCGGCUAACUACGUG
Molecule: ribosomal RNA, 468 nt
Filed under: uncultured bacterium
Lineage: Bacteria
Description: partial 16S ribosomal RNA
Rfam family: Bacterial small subunit ribosomal RNA
Source: RNAcentral